ACUUCGUGAAGCUGGAUUCGCUAGUAAUCGCGCAUCAGCCACGGCGCGGUGAAUACGUUCCCGGGCCUUGUACACACCGCCCGUCAAGCCAUGGGAGCCGGGGGUACCUGAAGUACGUAACCGCAAGGAGCGUCCUAGGGUAAAACUGGUGACUGGGGCUAAGUCGUAACAAGGUACC
RNAcentral lists this ribosomal RNA (178 nucleotides) under uncultured bacterium. Its description in RNAcentral is "partial 16S ribosomal RNA". It matches the Rfam family "Bacterial small subunit ribosomal RNA", at positions 1315 to 1500 of the family's 1533-position model. The record is from RNAcentral.